This 978-nucleotide ribosomal RNA is filed under the name Perapion curtirostre. RNAcentral's name for it is "eukaryotic LSU rRNA". It matches the Rfam family "Eukaryotic large subunit ribosomal RNA", at positions 108 to 842 of the family's 3401-position model. Lineage: Eukaryota; Metazoa; Arthropoda; Insecta; Coleoptera; Brentidae. The record is from RNAcentral.
CCCAGCACCGAAUCCCGCGGUCGAUACGCCGCGGGAAAUGUGGUGUUAGGGAGGGUCCAUUAUUCCGAGAUCAUGCGGCGCGUCCAAGUCCUUCUUGAACGGGGCCACAGCCCAUAGAGGGUGCCAGGCCCGUAGCGACCGCUGCUGAUCGCGGGAGGAUCUCUCCUCAGAGUCGGGUUGCUUGAGAGUGCAGCCCUAAGUGGGUGGUAAACUCCAUCUAAGGCUAAAUAUGACCACGAGACCGAUAGCGAACAAGUACCGUGAGGGAAAGUUGAAAAGCACUUUGAAGAGAGAGUUCAAGAGUACGUGAAACCGUUUAGGGGUAAACCUGAGAACCCCGAAAGGUCGAAGGGAGAAAUUCAUUCGCGUUUCGAUGUUGGCGUGAGGCGGUCAUGUGACGGAGAGGGUUCGCUCGAUCCGCGCCUUCCGUUUUUCGAUCCGACGUCGAACGCGUGCACUUUUCUCCUGGUAGGACGUCGCGAUCCGUUGGGCGUCGAUCUACGGCCCGAGGUGGAGCCCGCAUGGUUUCGUGCCAAGCGGACCCUCGGUGUCCUGGCCGACUCGCUCGACGGUAUACGAACGGUCGAGGGCCGCUUUCAUAGCGUUCGACUCGUUGCAAGCGCGUCGGAAGCGUCGGAUACCGGAUCUGAUGCCGUUACCGACCUCCGAUGGCCGUUGGCGACGAAGUUCUCGGACAGACCCUCAUGACCGAUCAGCGACGCUAUAGCUUUGGGUACUUUCAGGACCCGUCUUGAAACACGGACCAAGGAGUCUAGCAUGUGCGCGAGUCAUUGGGAAUCACUAAACCUAAAGGCGUAAUGAAAGUAAAGGUUCGUCUUGCACGAGCCAAGGAAGAUGAGCGAGUUUGCCCUUAAAAGCGGCCGCACCGCACUCCCGAAAGCGUCUCGUUCUCAUCGCGAGAAGAGGCGCACCAAGAGCGUACACGCUGGACCCGAAAGAUGUGAACUAUGCCUGGUC